GGAAAACUCCAACCAUGUGUAUGGAUGAUAAACAUCUCAGUAAAUAAUGUACUUCGCAGCAAGUAAUGCGCUAAAUUAUACGAUAAACUGAACGAUUAUAUAUUAGAGAAUAACAACAACAGGACAUCAAUAUGGAGCAAUUUAAUAACCGUAAAAAGUUACGUUAAGGUCGAACCGGGUCAGCCAGAGAGUAAG
Molecule: long non-coding RNA, 195 nt
Organism: Drosophila willistoni
Lineage: Eukaryota; Metazoa; Arthropoda; Insecta; Diptera; Drosophilidae
Exons: 4
Source: RefSeq, a predicted model, not a curated record